GACAGCAGUCGCCGCGGUAAUACGGAGGGUGCAAGCGUUAAUCGGAAUUACUGGGCGUAAAGCGCACGCAGGCGGUCUGACAAGUCAGAUGUGAAAUCCCCGGGCUUAACCUGGGAACUGCAUUUGAAACUGUCAGGCUGGAGUCUUGUAGAGGGGGGUGGAAUUCCAGGUGUAGCGGUGAAAUGCGUAGAGAUCUGGAGGAAUACCGGUGGCGAAGGCGGCCCCCUGGACAAAGACUGACGCUCAGGUGCGAAAGCGUGGGGAGCAAACAGGAUUAGAUACCCCGGUAGUCCCUGUCUCUUAUAA
RNAcentral lists this ribosomal RNA (306 nucleotides) under uncultured bacterium. RNAcentral describes it as "partial 16S ribosomal RNA". It matches the Rfam family "Bacterial small subunit ribosomal RNA", at positions 507 to 809 of the family's 1533-position model. The record is from RNAcentral.